Molecule: ribosomal RNA, 775 nt
Filed under: uncultured Neocallimastigales
Lineage: Eukaryota; Fungi; Neocallimastigomycota; Neocallimastigomycetes; Neocallimastigales
Description: partial large subunit ribosomal RNA
Rfam family: Eukaryotic large subunit ribosomal RNA
Source: RNAcentral
UACGACUACAUAUCAGGCAUAUCAAUAAGCGGAGGAAAAGAAACUAACUAGGAUUCCCUCAGUAACGGCGAGUGAAGCGGGAAGAGCUCAAAUUUGAAAUCUUCAAGGUUCUACCUUGACGAAUUGUAGUUUAAAGAAGUGUUUUCUGUUGGAGUUUUGGUGAAAGUUCUUUGGAAUAGGACAUCAUAGAGGGUGAGAAUCCCGUAUUUGACCGUUAUUCUCUAGCUGUGUGAUACACUUUCAAAGAGUCGGAUUGUUUGGGAAUGCAGUCCAAAAUGGGUGGUAAAUUUCAUCUAAAGCUAAAUAUUGGCGAGAGACCGAUAGCGAACAAGUACCGUGAGGGAAAGAUGAAAAGAACUUUGAAAAGAGAGUUAAACAGUACGUGAAAUUGUCAAAAGGGAAGCGUUUGACACCAGUGUUGUUUUCUCGAAAAUCAAUUAAAAAUAGUUGGAUUUUGUGUUGUAUUGACCUUAACAGCUUGCUUCACUCUUUUCCAGCUUUUUUUAAUGCACUUUUCGUUUAACAAGUCAACAUCAGUUUCUUUUGUUGUAAAAGGGUCAUUGGAAGGUGGCUUUCUCUUCGGAGAAAGUGUUUAUAGCCUUUGAUCUCUGCAAUCGGAGAGACUGAGGUCUGCAGCGUAGAUCCUUCGGGGUUAGAUACAUUUGCGCUAAGCUACAGCUUUUCAUAGACAACUUGUUGACUAUGUUUAGUCUUGUGACUUACCCGCUUAUGCUAUUUUACCUACGCUUAGGAUGUUGAGCGCAUGUCUCUCUCU